This 55-nucleotide small RNA is filed under the name Mycobacterium tuberculosis H37Rv. RNAcentral's name for it is "Fragment of putative small regulatory RNA". Lineage: Bacteria; Bacillati; Actinomycetota; Actinomycetes; Mycobacteriales; Mycobacteriaceae. The record is from RNAcentral. RNAcentral also lists the same sequence under 1 other name.
CCCGAGGAACACCAGGUCGCCCGCGUGCGGGCGAAAGGCAGCGAGGACUUUUGGG